Molecule: small nuclear RNA, 22 nt
Filed under: Arabidopsis thaliana (thale cress)
Lineage: Eukaryota; Viridiplantae; Streptophyta; Magnoliopsida; Brassicales; Brassicaceae
Description: snRNA_01046
Source: RNAcentral
CAGAAAUCUCGUGUGGAACAAA